RNAcentral lists this ribosomal RNA (670 nucleotides) under Micromonospora sp. 249. RNAcentral describes it as "bacterial SSU rRNA". It matches the Rfam family "Bacterial small subunit ribosomal RNA", at positions 57 to 745 of the family's 1533-position model. Lineage: Bacteria; Bacillati; Actinomycetota; Actinomycetes; Micromonosporales; Micromonosporaceae. The record is from RNAcentral.
GCAAGUCGAGCGGAAAGGCCCUUCGGGGUACUCGAGCGGCGAACGGGUGAGUAACACGUGAGCAACCUGCCCCAGGCUUUGGGAUAACCCCGGGAAACCGGGGCUAAUACCGAAUAUGACCUCCGAUCGCAUGGUUGGUGGUGGAAAGUUUUUCGGCUUGGGAUGGGCUCGCGGCCUAUCAGCUUGUUGGUGGGGUGAUGGCCUACCAAGGCGACGACGGGUAGCCGGCCUGAGAGGGCGACCGGCCACACUGGGACUGAGACACGGCCCAGACUCCUACGGGAGGCAGCAGUGGGGAAUAUUGCACAAUGGGCGGAAGCCUGAUGCAGCGACGCCGCGUGAGGGAUGACGGCCUUCGGGUUGUAAACCUCUUUCAGCAGGGACGAAGCGUAAGUGACGGUACCUGCAGAAGAAGCGCCGGCCAACUACGUGCCAGCAGCCGCGGUAAGACGUAGGGCGCGAGCGUUGUCCGGAUUUAUUGGGCGUAAAGAGCUCGUAGGCGGCUUGUCGCGUCGACUGUGAAAACCCGCAGCUCAACUGCGGGCCUGCAGUCGAUACGGGCAGGCUAGAGUUCGGUAGGGGAGACUGGAAUUCCUGGUGUAGCGGUGAAAUGCGCAGAUAUCAGGAGGAACACCGGUGGCGAAGGCGGGUCUCUGGGCCGAUACUGACG